CCGACUUCCUCGACAGAUUGAACGUUUUCUAAUCCGACCAGGGUUGCCAGAUCCGUCAGAAACAAGUAAUCGCCCCAACAAGGCGGGGUGUGUUUAAAACCACGACCUCUGUUCACCUUUUAAUGGGAUUAUAUGGAAAUGUCCCCCUGAAGAUGUGUGUGAGGCAAGAAGGCUGACAAGAUUCAGAAAAGGGGACGAGGAGGACAGUAACUCGGUGUGUUUGACUUUUGAGGGGCAGUUGCCGGAAAGAGUGGAUCUAGAUUAUGUGUGUUACAGGGCGAGGCCGUAUGAGAGAGCUCCUCUCAGGUGUUUCUGCAGGACGAAGAGGAGGCAGGAGAUGUGGGAAGGAUUGACUGUAAUGUGGAGAAAGAGCAAGCAAAGUGUCUGCACUGCGUACGGGAUCAGCACAGAGCCCAGAAAGAAUUAAGGAAGUAAAAAUGAAUAAGAUCAGAGCAGAAAAGGGAAAGUCAUACGCUGAAGCUGCUAAGAGGAUGGAGAGGAACGGUGAAAUGGUGGCAGUGCAAAAGGAAACGGAGAUGAUCAGAGCAUCAGUAUGGACAAGAAACGAUUUCUGGCAUUUAUUGCCAUGGUUAUAAACUGUGCUGCUGAAAUAAAGGGGAGGAUAAAUAAAGGAUUAAGAUGGUGCUGGAAGCUGCAAGAUGAUUCUUGAAUGUUGUGGACAUUUCUGGAGAGGAUCUGGAUGUUACAUUGAGGGAAGGAGCUGCACAGACUCAGACAACUGGGUCUGGGGUUGUAGAACGGACACGAGUGGGAGCACUUUGGGUGGUCGCAGUAAAUAGUUUACACUGUGAAGCUGUUGCAAUCCAGCACUUGGCGGUGACGCAACACUUAUGGAUGCCGACCGCCAUAAAACUCAACAGAAGAAGAUUUUCUCGAUUAAUCGUUUAAAUCAGUCUGUAAAAUGUCAGAAAAUAGUGGAAAAUCAUCAGCAUCACAAUUUACGACAGCCCAAAUUGACAUCUUUAGAUAUUGACUGUCUGUUUUGUCCAACUAAUAGUCCAAAAAUAUUCAGUUCACUAUUUAUUUAUUUAAAAGACAAACGCGUAUUUUACUAGUCGGACAUGGCAACCCUGAAUCCAAACAACGCAACUUCCGUUUGGCCGAUCCGCGCGCUCAGUGACUGCAGUUAUUAUGAAAUGAUCAACCUGUUUUACUGUUCAAAAUAUAUUUUAAUUGAUUCUUUUAAUUGAUUAUUCCUUUGACACGUUGUGUUACCUCUGUGGUUUGUAGAUGAACUGUGUGCACUGGUUUCUCAGUUCUUACUUUAUUUCUCUAAUUAUCUUUUUUUUGACUGAAAUUUGUUCUUUGCUGCUUGUUAUUUUGGUCUUAUUUGACAAUGGGUGUCUGUAAAUUUAAGGAAAGCCAAUUUAUAAACUGAAAACAAUUUCAUUGCCAUAUAGAUGGUUUAACACCUAGCACUAAAGAAAACUGAAAUGUAAAAAUAUUAAAGUGCACUAGUAAACAUUUUCAGGACCUCUAAAAUGUACACCCAUUUGUUCUGUACCACGUUAUUUAAAAUGCUAAUCUUAAAUUCACGAUAAGGAGCGUCACAGACCGAGUCCAUGAUCCAAAAUUAUACAUAUUUACAAGAAAUUCAAUUGGCCGACAAAAUCAAAUUACACAACCCCCGGAUCAAAGUCAAUAACUUUAUUAGAAAAAUAGGUUUAACUCACCUCACUGUACAGUAUAAAACAAUUCAUUUGCAAAAAUGCAAACACACUUGUUAGCAAAAAAAACAAAAAAAAACAAAUACAAAAAAAAAAAAAAUCAUUCUUGACCCUUAAAAUUGGCGAUCCAACAGAGUCAAUACUAGUGUGAAAAAAAGUAAUCAGGCUCUUUCAUAAAUCUGGUAAAAAGAGAAAGAACAAGCUGCACAAUCCUGUCCGAACUGGAAGAAUGCUAAACACCGCGUUUCGUGGCAAGUGUCAGAAUAGGCUAAAAGACGCACUAAAGGCUGGAGAAAUCCAACCUCAGAAGCUGCUUCGCCAUUAAAAACCACGUACGUCUGUGAUGUACAAUGCAUUGAAAAAGUUACUUUGUGACGAAGUAAACUCAAACUGCUUUAUUCUGUUAUUUCCUACAAUUCCCAGAAUGCCUUUCACCACCCCCAAUAAAGAGUUAGGGUUAUAUAUAAAACAGCUAUAUAGCCAUGGCCACAUCCCGUACUUAAAAUUCAAACAUCUCGUGGAUGUGCUGCAUUAUGUGGGUGUAGAAAUUGAUGUCUGUGCAACUGAUUUCUUCCCCGUGUGAUUGCUAAACACUGGUGCAAAUUGGGAGAGUUUAAAAAAAUACUCCACGCACUAGGACUUUGGGAUAACACCCACCAAAAACCUGACUGUAAAUAUCUCACAUCAUUGAAAGGACAAGUCUGGUUAAACGCUAUAAUUUUGUUGUCAACAAAUUCCAUAAAAAGCCCAAAACCAGCAGUGAACGUCUCUGCUAACAAGUGUUGUGUGAAUCACAGCCUGAUGGAUCUUCUUACUCACUAGUGGAUUCAUCCGCUGCUGAAAAUAGUCCCCAACAAAUGCACUAUUUCCUCCUGUUAGUCUGAUAAAAACUACAGCGAGCAGCUGUUUGAGGAAACUACUGAGCCUUUUUUUUUUAUAAAAGAAAUAAAACUACAUAUUUGUGAGGUGUUUUUAAAGAUUUGCAUCUUUACUAGGAAACAAUGUUAUUGGCGCUGAGAGCCACAGACAGGAAGUCAGAGACAAACUAACACUAUUGGUUUUGGUCUUUUCAUUAAAUUUGUUGACAAUAAGAAAAAACAGAAUAACGUCCGACUGAUCCUUUACGUUUUAUACUGGCUGUGUUUCACAUUCAAGGUGAAUUUGUCUUUUUUUCUAUUAGCUAAGAAGCACAACGGAAAACGCUCACUGAGAAACUCAAGCUAUUGAAGCUGUUGGAAGUGUUGUGGGUAGUAACUUGUGUGGCCGCAUCUCUAACAGCACUCUGCAGGUAAAUUAUUACACACCCUGUAAAACAAGAUGUGCCCAAAAAUGCCAAGGUACAUCACCAACGCCUGUUAUUUCCCACAACGUUCGAAUAUGUUAGGAUGGGUCUGCUCCUUUAAACUCUUAACAUUUUGACUUCCAGUAUAAUGUGUACACAGAUAGUGAAAAUACAUGAAUUAACACCAGUUUACUCUAACCAGGACCACAUAUACGGUGUGAUAAUCAGUCUACAGUGACAUACAAUGUGAAAUGUAUAAUCAUGCUUUUGCAAUGAAAACUUUUUCCAUGCCAUGUUUAGUUUGAUUCCUAAACUUUUCAGGACACGGAAAUAAACUCACAUUCUUCCAGACCUGCUUAGAAACCCUAAAAUAAAAAGCAGCUUCAAUAGAUGUCAGUGAACAUUCACGUUGUGAACGAACACAGAUGUGUGUGCAGAGCCGACAGCCUGAGACAUUACUUUGCAAACAUCCUUACAUCCAUGGGUACAAACAAAACAAAAAACAAAAAAAAAAAAAGACUGUUUUCCCAUUGUGGAAGACAAAGGAUGACAGGGUUGCAGGCAUUUAAGAAUUUACAGUCAUAAAAACAAUUUCUGCGUGUAAACUACAUCAUCACUCAGUUCAUUUCAAGACAGCAAAGCUUGUUCAGGCUCAUUUCAGAAGGAUCAGCUAACGUGCUAACAGUAGCUGUAGCCUACGUCAAGUCUCGACUGAAAACUAAAAAUUCAUUAAGUGUUCUGUUGCUGCCUGUGCAUAUCUCUGAGGUGGAAGGGUGGGGGUCGAACCCUGCCUCAGUUUCCUCAAGUACAAAACGGGGCAGAGCAGGCGAGUCCUUGAAACGGAGGUAGUUAACGGACCCAUGGUGGCUUAGGCUCUUAAAGCACCAUUUUCCUGGAAUGCCCGACCUUCAACACCGGGUGAUCACACCUCAACGCCAUCGCUGAGAAUCAUAGAUUAUCGUGUCUAGUCCAUCACAAAAGAUGUAGUUUAAGAGCACAAAGAAAAAAAAAAAAAAAAAAUUAGCAUCAAGUUCCACUAAA
This is a long non-coding RNA of Siniperca chuatsi (mandarin fish), 4011 nucleotides long. RefSeq lists it as uncharacterized. The record is from RefSeq and is a predicted model, not a curated record. Lineage: Eukaryota; Metazoa; Chordata; Actinopteri; Centrarchiformes; Sinipercidae. The transcript is spliced from 2 exons.